Molecule: ribosomal RNA, 1171 nt
Filed under: Lactococcus lactis
Lineage: Bacteria; Bacillati; Bacillota; Bacilli; Lactobacillales; Streptococcaceae
Description: bacterial SSU rRNA
Rfam family: Bacterial small subunit ribosomal RNA
Source: RNAcentral
GGGGCGAGUGCGGCGUGCUAUACAUGCAGUUGAGCGCUGAAGGUUGGUACUUGUACCGACUGGAUGAGCAGCGAACGGGUGAGUAACGCGUGGGGAAUCUGCCUUUGAGCGGGGGACAACAUUUGGAAACGAAUGCUAAUACCGCAUAAAAACUUUAAACACAAGUUUUAAGUUUGAAAGAUGCAAUUGCAUCACUCAAAGAUGAUCCCGCGUUGUAUUAGCUAGUUGGUGAGGUAAAGGCUCACCAAGGCGAUGAUACAUAGCCGACCUGAGAGGGUGAUCGGCCACAUUGGGACUGAGACACGGCCCAAACUCCUACGGGAGGCAGCAGUAGGGAAUCUUCGGCAAUGGACGAAAGUCUGACCGAGCAACGCCGCGUGAGUGAAGAAGGUUUUCGGAUCGUAAAACUCUGUUGGUAGAGAAGAACGUUGGUGAGAGUGGAAAGCUCAUCAAGUGACGGUAACUACCCAGAAAGGGACGGCUAACUACGUGCCAGCAGCCGCGGUAAUACGUAGGUCCCGAGCGUUGUCCGGAUUUAUUGGGCGUAAAGCGAGCGCAGGUGGUUUAUUAAGUCUGGUGUAAAAGGCAGUGGCUCAACCAUUGUAUGCAUUGGAAACUGGUAGACUUGAGUGCAGGAGAGGAGAGUGGAAUUCCAUGUGUAGCGGUGAAAUGCGUAGAUAUAUGGAGGAACACCGGUGGCGAAAGCGGCUCUCUGGCCUGUAACUGACACUGAGGCUCGAAAGCGUGGGGAGCAAACAGGAUUAGAUACCCUGGUAGUCCACGCCGUAAACGAUGAGUGCUAGAUGUAGGGAGCUAUAAGUUCUCUGUAUCGCAGCUAACGCAAUAAGCACUCCGCCUGGGGAGUACGACCGCAAGGUUGAAACUCAAGGAAUUGACGGGGGCCCGCACAAGCGGUGGAGCAUGUGUUAAUUCGAAGCACGCGAAGAACCUUACCAGUCUUGACAUACUCGUGCUAUCCUAGAGAUAGAAGUUCUUCGGGACACGGGAUACAGUGGUGCAUGUUGUCCUCCAGCUCCNUGUCUGGAGAAUGUGGUAGUCCCGCCACGAGGCGCACUCUAUGUAAGUGCCAUACAAUAAGUGAUCUCACAGAGACGGCGGUAUACGGAGAAAGGNUAGCAUGACGUCAAUUCUAUGGCUUUAGACUUGUACA